This 265-nucleotide unclassified non-coding RNA is filed under the name plant metagenome. RNAcentral describes it as "partial contains small subunit ribosomal RNA, internal transcribed spacer 1, and 5.8S ribosomal RNA". The record is from RNAcentral.
UUUCCGUAGGUGAACCUGCGGAAGGAUCAUUAUUGUAUAACCGAGGUGCGAGGGCUGUCGCUGACCCGAAAGGUCGUGCACGCCCGAGUGCCCUCACACACAUCCAUCUCACCCCCUAUGUGCACCACCGCGUGGGUCCCCCUUUGGCUUGUUCGGAGGGGGGCUUACGUUUUCACACAAACUUUGUAUGCAGUGUAGAAUGUAUUUUUUUGUUUUUGCGAUCACGCAAUCAAUACAACUUUCAACAACGGAUCUCUUGGCUCUC